UACGGAGGGUGCGAGCGUUAAUCGGAAUUACCGGGCGUAAAGCGCGCGGAGGCGGCUAAGUCAGCCGGUUGUGAAAGCCCCGGGCUCAACCUGGGAAUGGCAUCCGGAACUGUUUAGCAAGAGUGCAGAAGAGGAGGGUAGAAUUCCCGGUGUAGCGGUGAAAUGCGUAGAGAUCGGGAGGAAUACCAGUUGCGAAGGCGGCCUUCUGGUCUGACACUGACGCUGAGGUGCGAAAGCGUGGGUAGCAAACAGG
RNAcentral lists this unclassified non-coding RNA (253 nucleotides) under uncultured Halomonadaceae bacterium. RNAcentral describes it as "contains 16S-23S intergenic spacer region". It matches the Rfam family "Bacterial small subunit ribosomal RNA", at positions 524 to 776 of the family's 1533-position model. The record is from RNAcentral. Lineage: Bacteria; Pseudomonadati; Pseudomonadota; Gammaproteobacteria; Oceanospirillales; Halomonadaceae.